This 408-nucleotide ribosomal RNA is filed under the name uncultured bacterium. RNAcentral's name for it is "bacterial SSU rRNA". It matches the Rfam family "Bacterial small subunit ribosomal RNA", at positions 11 to 412 of the family's 1533-position model. The record is from RNAcentral.
GUUUGAUCCUGGCUCAGAGCGAACGUUAGCGGCGGGGCCUAACACAUGCAAGUCGAACGGUCAGUAGCAAUACUGACAGUGGCGCACGGGGUGAGUAACGCGUAGGGGAUCUACCCUUGGUCGGGGGAUAACGUCUUGAAAAAGACGCUAAUACCGCAUAAGCCCACGAUGUUGAGGCAUUGAGGGAAAAGGUGGCGCCUGCAAGGGGCUACUGACGAAGGAUGACCCUGCGUCCCAUCAGCUAGUUGGUAGGGUAAAGGCCUACCAAGGCGAAGACGGGUAGCUGGUCUGAGAGGAUGGACAGCCACACUGGCACUGGAACACGGGCCAGACUCCUACGGGAGGCAGCAGUGGGGAAUAUGGGCAAUGGGCGAAAGCCUGACCCAGCCACGCCGCGUGAGUGAUGAA